RNAcentral lists this ribosomal RNA (253 nucleotides) under uncultured bacterium. RNAcentral describes it as "partial 16S ribosomal RNA". It matches the Rfam family "Bacterial small subunit ribosomal RNA", at positions 524 to 776 of the family's 1533-position model. The record is from RNAcentral.
UACGGAGGAUCCAAGCGUUAUUCGGAUUUCUUGGGCUUAAAGCGAGCGUAGGCGGCCAAUUAAGUCAGGGGUGAAAGACGGUGGCUCAACCAUCGCAGUGCCUUUGAUACUGAUUGGCUUGAAUGUAGUUGAGGUAGGCGGAAUGUGACAAGUAGCGGUGAAAUGCAUAGAUAUGUCACAGAACACCGAUUGCGAAGGCAGCUUACUAAGCUAUAAUUGACGCUGAGGCUCGAAAGCGUGGGGAUCAAACAGG